CAGCCGCCGCGGGAAUACAGAGGAUGCAAGCGUUAUCCGGAAUGAUUGGGCGUAAAGCGUCUGUAGGUGGCUUUUCAAGUCCGCCGUCAAAUCCCAGGGCUCAACCCUGGACAAGCGGUGGAAACUACCAAGAUGGAGUACGGUAGGGGCAGAGGGAAUUUCCGGUGGAGCGGUGAAAUGCGUUGAGAUCGGAAGGAACACCAACGGUGAAAGCACUCUGCUGGGCCGACACUGACACUGAGAGACGAAAGUUAGGGGAGAAAAUGGGAUUAGAUACCCCAGUAGUCCCUGUCUCUUAUAC
Molecule: ribosomal RNA, 301 nt
Filed under: uncultured bacterium
Lineage: Bacteria
Description: partial 16S ribosomal RNA
Rfam family: Bacterial small subunit ribosomal RNA
Source: RNAcentral